GAUGAACGCUAGCGGCAGGCUUAACACAUGCAAGUCGAGGGGUAACAGAGUAGCUUGCUAUUGCUGACGACCGGCGCACGGGUGCGUAACGCGUAUACAAUCUACCUUAUACUGAGGGAUAGGCCAAAGAAAUUUGGAUUAAUACCUCAUAGUAUUUUCCUAACACAUGUUAGGAUUCUUAAAGCUCCGGCGGUAUAAGAUGAGUAUGCGUGAUAUUAGCUAGUUGGUGAGGUAACUGCUCACCAAGGCUACGAUAUCUAGGGGGUCUGAGAGGACUAUCCCCCACACUGGUACUGAGACACGGACCAG
RNAcentral lists this ribosomal RNA (309 nucleotides) under uncultured bacterium. RNAcentral describes it as "bacterial SSU rRNA". It matches the Rfam family "Bacterial small subunit ribosomal RNA", at positions 28 to 334 of the family's 1533-position model. The record is from RNAcentral.